AGAGUUUGAUCCUGGCUCAGGAUGAACGCUGGCGGCGUGCCUAAUACAUGCAAGUCGAGCGAACAGAUAAGGAGCUUGCUCCUUUGACGUUAGCGGCGGACGGGUGAGUAACACGUGGGUAACCUACCUAUAAGACUGGAAUAACUCCGGGAAACCGGGGCUAAUGCCGGAUAACAUUUAGAACCGCAUGGUUCUAAAGUGAAAGAUGGUUUUGCUAUCACUUAUAGAUGGACCCGCGCCGUAUUAGCUAGUUGGUAAGGUAAUGGCUUACCAAGGCAACGAUACGUAGCCGACCUGAGAGGGUGAUCGGCCACACUGGAACUGAGACACGGUCCAGACUCCUACGGGAGGCAGCAGUAGGGAAUCUUCCGCAAUGGGCGAAAGCCUGACGGAGCAACGCCGCGUGAGUGAUGAAGGGUUUCGGCUCGUAAAACUCUGUUAUUAGGGAAGAACAAACGUGUAAGUAACUGUGCACGUCUUGACGGUACCUAAUCAGAAAGCCACGGCUAACUACGUGCCAGCAGCCGCGGUAAUACGUAGGUGGCAAGCGUUAUCCGGAAUUAUUGGGCGUAAAGCGCGCGUAGGCGGUUUCUUAAGUCUGAUGUGAAAGCCCACGGCUCAACCGUGGAGGGUCAUUGGAAACUGGGAGACUUGAGUGCAGAAGAGGAAAGUGGAAUUCCAUGUGUAGCGGUGAAAUGCGCAGRGAUAUGGAGGAACACCAGUGGCGAAGGCGACUUUCUGGUCUGUAACUGACGCUGAUGCGAAGCUGCC
This 771-nucleotide ribosomal RNA is filed under the name Staphylococcus arlettae. RNAcentral's name for it is "bacterial SSU rRNA". Lineage: Bacteria; Bacillati; Bacillota; Bacilli; Caryophanales; Staphylococcaceae. The record is from RNAcentral.